RNAcentral lists this ribosomal RNA (452 nucleotides) under Proteus mirabilis. RNAcentral's name for it is "bacterial SSU rRNA". It matches the Rfam family "Bacterial small subunit ribosomal RNA", at positions 30 to 476 of the family's 1533-position model. The record is from RNAcentral. Lineage: Bacteria; Pseudomonadati; Pseudomonadota; Gammaproteobacteria; Enterobacterales; Morganellaceae.
AUUGAACGCUGGCGGCAGGCCUAACACAUGCAAGUCGAGCGGUAACAGGAGAAAGCUUGCUUUCUUGCUGACGAGCGGCGGACGGGUGAGUAAUGUAUGGGGAUCUGCCCGAUAGAGGGGGAUAACUACUGGAAACGGUGGCUAAUACCGCAUAAUGUCUACGGACCAAAGCAGGGGCUCUUCGGACCUUGCACUAUCGGAUGAGCCCAUAUGGGAUUAGCUAGUAGGUGGGGUAAAGGCUCACCUAGGCGACGAUCUCUAGCUGGUCUGAGAGGAUGAUCAGCCACACUGGGACUGAGACACGGCCCAGACUCCUACGGGAGGCAGCAGUGGGGAAUAUUGCACAAUGGGCGCAAGCCUGAUGCAGCCAUGCCGCGUGUAUGAAGAAGGCCUUAGGGUUGUAAAGUACUUUCAGCGGGGAGGAAGGUGAUAAGGUUAAUACCCUUAUCAAU